AGUUCCUGCCCGGUCUCUCUCCGAGAUCCGCGGCCUGAAAAGCCGCUGUUAUAAAAUUUAACUACAGAAAC
This 71-nucleotide transfer RNA is filed under the name Fringilla coelebs (chaffinch). RNAcentral's name for it is "tRNA-Gln". The record is from RNAcentral. Lineage: Eukaryota; Metazoa; Chordata; Aves; Passeriformes; Fringillidae.